RNAcentral lists this precursor RNA (64 nucleotides) under Sus scrofa (pig). RNAcentral describes it as "precursor microRNA ssc-mir61". It matches the Rfam family "Small nucleolar RNA U3", at positions 155 to 218 of the family's 219-position model. From Rfam's summary of the family: Small nucleolar RNAs (snoRNAs) are involved in the processing and modification of rRNA in the nucleolus. There are two main classes of snoRNAs: the box C/D class, and the box H/ACA class. U3 snoRNA is a member of the box C/D class. Lineage: Eukaryota; Metazoa; Chordata; Mammalia; Artiodactyla; Suidae. The record is from RNAcentral.
CCUUGAUGAUCGUUCUCCUCUCUCUGGUUGAGAGAGGCAGAGGGAGAGAACACCGUCUGAGUGG